This is a long non-coding RNA of Cyprinus carpio (common carp), 1272 nucleotides long. RefSeq lists it as uncharacterized. The transcript has 3 exons. The record is from RefSeq and is a predicted model, not a curated record. NCBI's taxonomy places the organism in Eukaryota, Metazoa, Chordata, Actinopteri, Cypriniformes, Cyprinidae.
UCGAAAGAAAGGCAAGCUGGGUUACAGCAGCUCAGCCUGAAUCGACACACACACACACACACACACACACACACACACUAUCUCUCUCUCUCUCUCUCUCUCUCUCUCUUUCUCUCUCUACAUUCAUACCCUGGUACUCACUAACAAUCUUCCCCGCUAUCCCCCUAUUUUUGUCUCUAACAAGCCUCAAUGCUUUAGAUUGAGCUGCUUCAACCCCUGGAUGGCGGUCUCAUGCGAGCCAGUACAUCAACUUCAACUUUCCUCAUUUUCUAAAUACACGAAGCCUUCAUUUUCACGCAUGAUUAAUAACAAAUGGACUGUUAUCUUCUUGGGGACGGCUGGCCAAAUACGACAGGAGACACUACAAGAUUCGAUAAGCAGCCUGUUUAGCGAUAGUGGAGGGGUGAAUGAAAGAAAGCUUGGAAAGAGAGAUGAAGCAGGGACUAGUCACACUCUACAUGCGCUGCAUGGCAUAAAGGAGCAGAGUGCGCAUUUCCUGAUACGUGCAGACAAAGUGUGGCAGUUUGAAAGCUAUUUAACACUGAUUGGAGCCCUUUCUGCUCUUCGCCAGAGAGAAUACCUCUUCAGGUGCCGGUGUCGAGCAUCUCUGAUACACGCUGCGCCUCCUCCAUGCUACGAGACCCUCCCCUGAUCAGUCAAGGUUGACAGAGAAGGCCUUUGUGCGACACUCCAAGGAACAGAUGUCUGCCUGAGAGAGCAGUUCACCUGGAGCCGCGCUGGAUUACCCAUGGCCUCGCUUUGAUGGAUUAGCAUGUAUGGAAAUUGCCCGAUUAUUGAUAUGAAAAUAUUUGCAAACGAGGGGAAACUGGUGAUGUGAGGGGUGAGGGGUGCGAAGACGCUAAGAGAGCUUAUCAGCCUUCCUUCCAACCUUGUCCCUCGCUUCCUACAGAAAGAGGAAAAAAGAAGAGGGGUAGAAAAGACAGAUGAGGGCAUAGGGAGGAGAAAGAGAGCUGCUGUGUGUCAGCGUGGCAGUAUUCAGCUGCCCUUCAUGAAAUAUUGUUCACCAUUAUAUUAACAGAGCUGAGUGGAGAGAGAUAAGAGAGCUUCUGAAAUAGUAAGCAGAAUGUCCUGAGGAGAUAUUUCAAUCUUUAUUCUCUGUCACUCUCUCUCUCUCUUUUUCUCCCUCUCACCCCAUCUUUUUCUUUCAUUUAGGGCAACGGGUGAAUGUGAAAUGUGCCGAGACCUUUAUAAAUGAAGACAGGGCUGGAGAAAUGAUGACAUCAUCAACUCCCACAUAAUUGCUUGAUUUGU